Molecule: long non-coding RNA, 3234 nt
Organism: Carassius auratus (goldfish)
Lineage: Eukaryota; Metazoa; Chordata; Actinopteri; Cypriniformes; Cyprinidae
Source: Ensembl
ACGUGUGGGUUUGUGAAUAACUCUUCAGACAGCUGCUGAUCUGAUGCUUGACAAGCAUUCUCCGCAUGUUUAGAGGAGGAGUUCCUCCAGUGAUUCUCGCCUGAAGAAUGACAAGAACCGAGACCAGAGAAACACCAGCAACAAGAUGUCCAGAAGAGUGGAGGUGAUCAUCAACUCCUUAACUCCGCGGGAUCAGGAUGAGCCUCCUCUUCACAUCACAGAGUCGAAGCCCGGAGAGCAUCCAGGAGUGAAGGGCUUCCUGAUGAUCCACCCGGAGGUGCUGGGGUGGCUGGAGAUCCUGACUGGGUCCAUGGUGUCAGGACUUGUCUACUGGAAUUACGAUCUCUGGCUGUUAAUACCGGCUUGCUUUGUGAUUUUAAUAGGAGUCAUCACAGCUACAGCUGCAUGCACCCGCAACCGCUGUCUGGUGAUCACUUCUCAGGUGCUGAAUCUGCUUAAUAUCUGCAAUGUGCUGGCAGCGAUCAUCGUGUUUUUCGUCGUAUUCUUCUUAGGGAUUCUUAAGGAUAUGCUUUUUGGACAUUUACUCCGUUCUCGUUUCCUGAAUGGCCUUUCUGAGAGUUAUCCAUCUCUGCCCGUAAACAUCUCUUUCGUCGCCUGUAACAUUCUGGCGCUCAUCUUCUCACUUCUCAUCAUCAUGACGUUGUGCUGCUGGUGUAAAACGAGAAAGCGUCUGAUGGUCAUCCACAUGAACGCAGCUUCACCGGCAGCGGUCAGUGACGUCGUGGAUCAUCCGUGUCCAGAAUCCUCCCCCCCGGGCUAUAGUCCAGUCCCAUCUUCAGAUCCGCCGGACUACGAGGAGGAACGACUCUCGACGCUUUCUGGAGUUUCUGCUCAGGAGUGGGCCAUGAGGAAAUGGAAAAGAGAACUACAGCGCAGCAGAAAACCCAUCCAAGUCUGACCGGAUUCAUUUAUGUAUUUAUGCUCUAAAGUAGAGCUUUAAUGACCUGUGUUUUAUUUGAUCUCUUGUGUUCUCAAGGCCUUUAUUAAUAGAAUGUCUAACAUCAUAACACUAGUUUCUCUUGCAUCAGAUGAACAACACAGAGAACAUUCACUGGUGGAUGUCACAGGACUUUUAUGCACAUUAGAUAUUUUGUGUCCUUGUUUUUAAAAACUGACAACAUUAGAAAACAUCAUAUGUGAAACUCUGCACAUGAAAUGCAUUAUGAAAUAUUCAGUGUUUCUGCAGGUCUCAAGUUGUCCUUCCACAAAUUAAGGCUUAAAAGGGUCCUAUGUCCUUAAAUCAGGAAGAAUGUUAUUUGCUCUGAUAAAAAAAAAAAAUGGCAUGAACUGCAAAAAAAUGUAUAUCUUCCUCAGUAUUUUUGUCUUGUUUUUAAGUACAUCCUGGCAUCAAAAAAUGAAGUCUUGCUUUUUUAAGAAAUCUAUCAAUAUGAAGGGAGUUUAUGGGAAAUGAAAAAGUUGUUUUCCCUGAAUUAAGUUUAUUUUUAUAUUUAGACUUUGUGUUUUCAUGCUUUGAGGUAUUGCUAGUGUAACUCAUUGUGUUUUCUUUCAUUUAAUUCUUCAAUUUUCUUUACUUGGUCUCAGAAAAGUCUUAAACCUGCCUUCUGAGGACUUGAAGAAACCCUGAUAUGCAGGAUUUGAGCAUUAUUCGUGGAUCAGAAACCAUGUUUAAGCGAGAUUGUGUUGAAAUGUGACUAGUUUUAGAGCGUAUUUCAGUAUUUGGAUCAGAAGCUGUACUUGCAUGUCUGAAAAAAGCUGUCCGGAGAUGACUGCCGAGACAUUAUUUCUGAUAUUUGCUCAUCUGCGGACAGUAAAUACACAGGAAAAGUAUUGCUUCUGCGUUCCCUCAAUCUCAGACACGCUCUUCUUAUGUGCAAUCUUACUAUUGAACUUGUUUAUUUUGUUUGAAUGUACACACUAGCAGUCUGUAAACCGUUUUGAAUUUGCACUAUAGAGUUCAUGUAUUAUUAGUAGUGUUAUGGUAAUUGUUGUUCAAUGGAGAAUUUCCUAAAGCUAAUAAAUCUUUCUUGGCAACAGGUUCUGUUGGUUUCUCAUCAGUUUUGCCAUCUGAUUCAUUCAUGAUCUGUUGGAGAAUGACAUGAUUUUAUUGACAUAAUGAUAUAUAUAUUAUUAUAAUUUUUUUUUUUUUUUAAUCAGAAACUAGCCUAAACUUUUUGUGUUAGCUAUACCCUGUAUAAAUUAUAACAGAAUGGUCUAUUUAUAACAACACAACACUGUUUUGAAACGUAAUUGGAGUAUUUAAAAUAACCCUGAUUUAUACUUUAGCGCGUUCAUAUAUUUAUUUAAACACUUUAGCAUUAUUAUAGUAUUCCGAUCUUCGUCUUAAAUACAUUUGUAACAACAAAAGAGCGCGUAUACCGUUGCUAAAAUACAUAUCCUAUUCUUUUGAUCUCAAUACUUUUUGAAAUUGUAUUACUUUAAUAAGAAUAUAUUUUAAAAAGUCCCAUCAGCCUUUGUUGUUGUUUUUUUAGGUUACUUUAGAGCGUCUUUGCCAUGAAAUAUUUAUUAAAAUAAACAAAAAUAUUUGUUUAAUUUCUGUUAAUACACCUAUUAAUUACUCACAUAUACAUGCAUACUACUGGAUAUUCAAAAAUACAUAUAUAAAAUACACGUGAACACUAAUAUGAAAUCGAUACCAAUAGGUAUAAUGUUAGCAAUGUAUGCAAACACACUUGUGAAUAACUUGCGUAUACAUAGGCCUAUAAAUUUGACGCGAGCUUACAAUAACAUUUACUAACGUAGUUCUGAUAAGAAAAACAUAUGCAUUAUGUGUGUAGAAAUGUACACCUUUUUCUAGAUCGAAACUGCCAAUUAACUUAAACCUUCUCAGAUUUCUUUUUUUUUUAUCUGAUGCAGGGAUGGUGGAUGUGUACUUUAUUAGUGUAAUAGUUAAACAUCAUAUGUAAAUUAAAAAAUAUAUAUAUUGUAUACCCUAUUAUUUGAUACAAAUGUUGUAUUAUUAACCAGUUUUAAAGUUUUACUACAUUCUGUUCCUGAAAUCCACACUUUUGAAAUCAAGAUAAUCAAAGGUAAUCAAAUCAAGCACAACCUAAUAAAACAUGUUUCGUGAAUAAAGGGUGUUGUAAAAAAGAUCAUGGUCCGUGGAUAAUUCAUCUCAAAGUGCACCACAAUGCAGUAUGUGAUAAAACACAAAAACAAAGUGUAUAAAGACAUUUGACAACUUUUUUUAUCUAUAUAGUACAUUUUAUUUACUAAAUGUAUCAUUUUUGGGCA